Long non-coding RNA from Eubalaena glacialis (North Atlantic right whale), 516 nucleotides. RefSeq lists it as uncharacterized. The transcript has 4 exons. Lineage: Eukaryota; Metazoa; Chordata; Mammalia; Artiodactyla; Balaenidae. The record is from RefSeq and is a predicted model, not a curated record.
GGCCCAAAGAACUCCCCCCUCCCCGAGGGCGGCGGCUCCGGGACCACGUCCCGGGCUUCGCUGACAGACUCGCGCGCCGGGGAUACUUGAGUGCCCUUCCCUGCGGGAACGCCGGAGGACGCAGACACAGGCGGUGGCUGGGAGAGCCGGCAGGCUGUGAGCUUCUGGAGAAGCAGUAUCACGCGGGGAUUAAGAGCACUGGCUCUGGAGCCCUGCCACCUGGACCACAUCCCAGCUCUGCCGCUUCUCAGCUGCGUCCAACCCAACAGUGUCUCCAAACGGAGUGUCGGGGUUGAAGAUGGCCUGCAACACUGCCUGAUCAUUUGGAGUCCCCAUGGUGCUCACCUGCAAAAUCCGAAAAGAAGCUUGGAAGAACACAAGGAAAAAAAAAAACUGAAAGAUCUGUUAUACAUGAUAAAGUUGUCAAGAAAUGUCUUAUUUCUAGAAAAGAAGCUUGUCAUCUGUUGAGCUUUUGAAACAAUUAUUCAACUACCUGUAUUUACUAAAGAGACUGUU